UGGGGAAUAUUGCACAAUGGGCGCAAGCCUGAUGCAGCCAUGCCGCGUGUGUGAAGAAGGCCUUCGGGUUGUAAAGCACUUUCAGCGAGGAGGAAGGUGGUGAGCUUAAUACGCUCAUCAAUUGACGUUACUCGCAGAAGAAGCACCGGCUAACUCCGUGCCAGCAGCCGCGGUAAUACGGAGGGUGCAAGCGUUAAUCGGAAUUACUGGGCGUAAAGCGCACGCAGGCGGUUUGUUAAGUCAGAUGUGAAAUCCCCGGGCUCAACCUGGGAACUGCAUUUGAAACUGGCAAGCUAGAGUCUCGUAGAGGGGGGUAGAAUUCCAGGUGUAGCGGUGAAAUGCGUAGAGAUCUGGAGGAAUACCGGUGGCGAAGGCGGCCCCCUGGACGAAGACUGACGCUCAGGUGCGAAAGCGUGGGGCAGCAAACAGGAUUAGAUACCCUGGUAGUCCAGCGCUGUAAACGAUGUCGAUUUGGAGGUUGUGCCCUUGAGGCGUGGCUUCCGGAGCUAACG
Molecule: ribosomal RNA, 512 nt
Filed under: uncultured bacterium
Lineage: Bacteria
Description: partial 16S ribosomal RNA
Rfam family: Bacterial small subunit ribosomal RNA
Source: RNAcentral